GACGAACGCUGGCGGCGUGCCUAAUACAUGCAAGUUGAGCGCUGAAGGUUGGUACUUGUACCAACUGGAUGAGCAGCGAACGGGUGAGUAACGCGUGGGGAAUCUGCCUUUGGGCGGGGGACAACAUUUGGAAACGAAUGCUAAUACCGCAUAAAAACUUUAAACACAAGUUUUAAGUUUGAAAGAUGCAAUUGCAUCACUCAAAGAUGAUCCCGCGUUGUAUUAGCUAGUUGGUGAGGUAAAGGCUCACCAAGGCGAUGAUACAUAGCCGACCUGAGAGGGUGAUCGGCCACAUUGGGACUGAGACACGGCCCAAACUCCUACGGGAGGCAGCAGUAGGGAAUCUUCGGCAAUGGACGAAAGUCUGACCGAGCAACGCCGCGUGAGUGAAGAAGGUUUUCGGAUCGUAAAACUCUGUUGGUAGAGAGGAACGUUGGUGAGAGUGGAAAGCUCAUCAAGUGACGGUAACUACCCAGAAAGGGACGGCUAACUACGUG
RNAcentral lists this ribosomal RNA (497 nucleotides) under uncultured bacterium. RNAcentral describes it as "partial 16S ribosomal RNA". It matches the Rfam family "Bacterial small subunit ribosomal RNA", at positions 28 to 507 of the family's 1533-position model. The record is from RNAcentral.